UACGGAGGGUGCUAGCGUUGUUCGGGAUCACUGGGCGUAAAGGGCGCGUAGGCGGCCCGCUAAGUCGAACGUGAAAUCCCCAGGCUCAACCUGGGAACUGCGUCCGAUACUGGCAGGCUUGAAUCCGGGAGAGGGAUGUGGAAUUCCAGGUGUAGCGGUGAAAUGCGUAGAUAUCUGGAGGAACACCGGUGGCGAAGGCGGCAUCCUGGACCGGUAUUGACGCUGAGGCGCGAAAGCUAGGGGAGCAAACGGG
RNAcentral lists this ribosomal RNA (253 nucleotides) under uncultured bacterium. RNAcentral describes it as "partial 16S ribosomal RNA". It matches the Rfam family "Bacterial small subunit ribosomal RNA", at positions 524 to 776 of the family's 1533-position model. The record is from RNAcentral.